GACAGUUGGCCUUCACCCAAAACGCUCUUACCACGUGCUGUUGUGUCUCCACCUUCUGGCUGCAUACGCAUAGCAUGUCAGGACUAAGAUCCUGAAUGGGAUAUAAGGUCUAACAGGUAGCCAAUGAAGAGAGACCAGGAGAGAAGAUACAUGUCAUCGGGGGACCUGCAAACAACUUAUGCUGCAGAUUUCUGUAAGAACUGGACAGAUUUGGUGUGGGAAGUCAAAAACCCAGUCAGCAGGGACUGGAGUCUAGAGAUGAUCAUAGCCUGGACCAACAGAUGGGCUGACAGUUUCAUGAGAUUGAAUUGGAAUUGACUGUCUGCCACCCAGACCAAGAUACCGGAAAGAAAGUUUAUUGCAGAAGACGAGGCAGAGCUCUGGAUCAUCAGUGUAUUGGCAUCAUGAGAAGCUGUGAAGUGAGUUGAUGUCUAAGAAGAGUGCAUUCAAAGUGUCAAAGCAAAUAUUAUAGCCACGGCACAACUCAGAGAUGAAGAAAAUUAACUUGAUGAUGUCAGCCUCCUUCUCCUUGAUGAAGAGACGAAACUAUAUACAAUAAGAGAAGAUGAAGGUGUUUGAGGGGUAAGAAAAGAAGGUGGAGAAGA
Molecule: long non-coding RNA, 605 nt
Organism: Brienomyrus brachyistius
Lineage: Eukaryota; Metazoa; Chordata; Actinopteri; Osteoglossiformes; Mormyridae
Exons: 3
Source: RefSeq, a predicted model, not a curated record